This is a long non-coding RNA of Oryzias melastigma (Indian medaka), 903 nucleotides long. RefSeq lists it as uncharacterized. The record is from RefSeq and is a predicted model, not a curated record. NCBI's taxonomy places the organism in Eukaryota, Metazoa, Chordata, Actinopteri, Beloniformes, Adrianichthyidae. The transcript is spliced from 2 exons.
CUCCCCAACUUGUGCGGUGCGUAGCUGAGAGAGAGGCCUGUUUAGAGCGGAGCCAGCAAGCACGCACAGCAGAGCAGCCAUUAGCUGAAAAACUACGGUGAAAAAACUAAAAUAACGGUGCAAACCUGUUGUCUAGCCAGACCGGAAGAGGGGUGUGAGCCAAAUAGGAUUUUAUGCCAUUACGAGACGAGUUUUGGCCAGGUUUUUGAUCCCCCCGAGAGUCAUUGGGAGACCGUUCUGGACCGGAUCGUUUCUGAACUUCUCCUGAUCCAUGGAUGGCGAGCCUACCCAGAGAGCGCGAUAACCCAGGACUGCCGUAGAGCAUCACGUGGUCCUUUUCCUUCUCUUCACUACUAUAAAAUCUCUGCCAAGGUUGCGGUAGGAGUUUGGACACUAACUGUGGAUCCAAUACACUCUAAAGGAGCACUACCAAAAACUGGAUAAGUCUGCUAACACACUUUAAAGAGUUUUGCCAAGCAGUUGGACAUUAAGAAAAACAGUUCUUUAUCUGCUUUGCAUUUUGAAUUGUCUUUUGUUUGAUGUUUGAUAUUUUGUAACUUUAACGGAUACCUUUGGUGUAAAUUUAAAGUGACAAAACUGAUUUAAAAAGUGAAUGGGGUAAAUACAGAGAACUCAAAAGAAAACUUAAGACUAAAAUUAAGUUAAAUAGAUUUAGUUCUGCAACUAAAGUCCCUUUAAACUAAAUGACCGGUCAUCUUUAAGUGAAAUAGAUUGAAACUGAAAAUAGCUUGAACAAAACCUUUUAUUUGAACUUUAACAGGAAAGUAAAGGAAAAACAACAUAAAAGGGUGUUGAAGAGGUGUCUUAACAUUACAUAAGAACCAAAUUUGUAUGUUUAUUGUUGUUUGUCAAUGUUCAGUAAAUUGCCGGCUUUUCAUUCUA